UCAUAUGCUUGUCUCAAAGAUUAAGCCAUGCAUGUCUAAGUACGUGCCUAAGAAAGGUGAAACCGCGAAUGGCUCAUUAAAUCAGUUAUGGUUCCUUAGAUCGUACCUUACUACUUGGAUAACUGUGGUAAUUCUAGAGCUAAUACAUGCAGCAGAGCUCCGACCUUCGGGGACGAGCGCUUUUAUUAGACCAAGACCAAUCGGACCUCGGUCCGAAGCUCAUGGUGACUCUGGAUAACUUUGGGCUGAUCGCACGGUCUCGUACCGGCGACGCAUCUUUCAAGUGUCUGCCUUAUCAACUUUCGAUGGUAGGUUAUGCGCCUACCAUGGUCGUAACGGGUAACGGGGAAUCAGGGUUCGAUUCCGGAGAGGGAGCCUGAGAAACGGCUACCACAUCCAAGGAAGGCAGCAGGCGCGCAAAUUACCCACUCCCGGCACGGGGAGGUAGUGACGAAAAAUAACAAUACGGGACUCUAUUGAGGCCCCGUAAUUGGAAUGAGUACACUCUAAAUCCUUUAACGAGGAUCUAUUGGAGGGCAAGUCUGGUGCCAGCAGCCGCGGUAAUUCCAGCUCCAAUAGCGUAUAUUAAAGUUGUUGCGGUUAAAAAGCUCGUAGUUGGAUCUCAGUUCCAGACGGGUGGUCCACCCCUGGUGGUUACUGCCUGGCCUGAACAAAUCCAGCCGGUUUUCCUUGAUGCUCUUCACCGAGUGUCUUGGGUGACCGGCACGUUUACUUUGAAAAAAUUAGAGUGCUCAAAGCAGGCGUGACGCCUGAAUAAUGGUGCAUGGAAUAAUGGAAUAGGACCUCGGUUCUAUUUUGUUGGUUUUCGGAACACGAGGUAAUGAUUAAGAGGGACAGACGGGGGCAUUCGUAUUGCGACGCUAGAGGUGAAAUUCUUGGACCGUCGCAAGACGAACUACU
RNAcentral lists this ribosomal RNA (921 nucleotides) under Surazomus sp. MCZ IZ-132973 106346. Its description in RNAcentral is "SSU rRNA". It matches the Rfam family "Eukaryotic small subunit ribosomal RNA", at positions 24 to 944 of the family's 1831-position model. The record is from RNAcentral. Lineage: Eukaryota; Metazoa; Arthropoda; Arachnida; Schizomida; Hubbardiidae.